RNAcentral lists this ribosomal RNA (506 nucleotides) under uncultured bacterium. RNAcentral's name for it is "partial 16S ribosomal RNA". It matches the Rfam family "Bacterial small subunit ribosomal RNA", at positions 28 to 523 of the family's 1533-position model. The record is from RNAcentral.
GAUGAACGCUAGCUACAGGCUUAACACAUGCAAGUCGAGGGGUAACGAGAGGAAAGCUUGCUUUCCUUGUCGACGACCGGCGCACGGGUGAGUAACGCGUAUCCAACCUGCCCCCAACUAGGGAAUAACCUUGCGAAAGUAAGACUAAUACCCUAUAAUUUCCUCAGAUGACAUCUGACGAGGAAUAAAGAUUUAUCGGUUGUGGAUGGGGAUGCGUCUGAUUAGCUUGUUGGCGGGGUAACGGCCCACCAAGGCAACGAUCAGGAGGGGUUCUGAGAGGAAGGUCCCCCACAUUGGAACUGAGACACAGUCCAAACUCCUACGGGAGGCAGCAGUGAGGAAUAUUGGUCAAUGGGCGAAAGCCUGAACCAGCCAAGUAGCGUGCAGGAUGACGGCCCUAUGGGUUGUAAACUGCUUUUAUACAGGAAUAAAGUUAGCCACGUGUGGUUAUUUGUAGGUACUGUAUGAAUAAGGACCGGCUAAUUCCGUGCCAGCCGCCGCAGUAA